Molecule: ribosomal RNA, 253 nt
Filed under: uncultured bacterium
Lineage: Bacteria
Description: partial 16S ribosomal RNA
Rfam family: Bacterial small subunit ribosomal RNA
Source: RNAcentral
UACGUAGGGGGCGAGCGUUGUCCGGAAUUAUUGGGCGUAAAGAGCGUGUAGGCUGUUCGGUAAGUCUGCCGUGAAAACCUGAGGCUCAACCUCGGGCGUGCGGUGGAUACUGCCGGGCUAGAGGACGGUAGAGGCGAGUGGAAUUCCCGGUGUAGCGGUGAAAUGCGCAGAUAUCGGGAGGAACACCAGUAGCGAAGGCGGCUUCCUGGACACCAACUGACGCUGAGACGCGAAAGCGUGGGGAGCAAACAGG